CAGCCGCCGCGGUAAUACGUAGGUGGCAAGCGUUGUCCGGAAUUAUUGGGCGUAAAGGGCUCGCAGGCGGUUUCUUAAGUCUGAUGUGAAAGCCCCCGGCUCAACCGGGGGGGGUCAUUGGAAACUGGGAAACUUGAGUGCAGAAGAGGAGAGUGGAAUUCCACGUGUAGCGGUGAAAUGCGUAGAGAUGUGGAGGAACACCAGUGGCGAAGGCGACUCUCUGGUCUGUAACUGACGCUGAGGAGCGAAAGCGUGGGGAGCGAACAGGAUUAGAUACCCCAGUAGUCCCUGUCUCUUAUAC
RNAcentral lists this ribosomal RNA (301 nucleotides) under uncultured bacterium. Its description in RNAcentral is "partial 16S ribosomal RNA". It matches the Rfam family "Bacterial small subunit ribosomal RNA", at positions 509 to 807 of the family's 1533-position model. The record is from RNAcentral.